GACGAGGGGUCCUAGCGUUGUUCGGAAUCAUUGGGCGUAAAGAGUAUGUAGGCGGCUUUUCAAGUCAGAUGUGAAAGCCCACGGCUUAACCGUGGAAAUGCAUUUGAAACUGCUAAGCUUGAGUGCGGAAGAGGAUGGUAGAAUUCCAGGUGUAGUGGUGAAAUACGUAGAUAUCUGGAGGAACACCGGUGGCGAAGGCGACAUCCUGGACCGGUAUUGACGCUGAGGCGCGAAAGCCAGGGGAGCAAACGGG
Molecule: ribosomal RNA, 253 nt
Filed under: uncultured bacterium
Lineage: Bacteria
Description: partial 16S ribosomal RNA
Rfam family: Bacterial small subunit ribosomal RNA
Source: RNAcentral